Astatotilapia calliptera (eastern happy) is the source of this 2798-nucleotide long non-coding RNA. The record is from Ensembl. NCBI's taxonomy places the organism in Eukaryota, Metazoa, Chordata, Actinopteri, Cichliformes, Cichlidae.
CUUAAAUAUGAUGAAGUAAAAAACACAGCAAAAUCACAAAUAACAGCAAACAUGCAUGCAAGCUUUGACUCCACAGUCCACAGUAGAACAGAGAAGAAAUGUCCAGCUUUACUUAGCUUCAGCUUAUUAUAACUAAGUGGGCUCUGUUCUGAUUUUGAUCUGUGCUCCAUUCCCGUGAAUCCAGGCCUUGUUUUGAAGUUUGAGAGCGUGAUCCCGGCAAUACAAGCAAGCCUGGAGGUGGUUAGGACAUGAAAGUGAGGUAAGAAAGACAAGAGAUUCAUUCAUGGGAAGGUGAUUCAAGGCACCGACAUCUCUGUAUCUCUGCACAGCUACAGAUGAUCAUUAUUACUCACACACACUGCUCACACGCAACCUGGAAUGAAACUAACAGUUAACUCCACUUACCGUCAUGCAUUGCGCAUCUACGUUUGGUGAAAGCAGCAUGUGCUGAGGCGCUCCGCACAAACUAUGGCUCAGUGAAGCUGCGGCUCUUGACGAGAGCGCGUCGUGUCAGCAGAGACUCUGGCUGCAGCUGCCGCAGAUACCAUCAUUGCGCUGGACCCUAAGGAGGAAUCAGCAUCUUCGAAAAUAAUCGUUCUGAUUGCUUUGCUGGAUUUGCCUGGGCGUAAAUCGUUUAAUGCUGGGGCUCUUUGGACGCAUUAACGGGAUUAAUCGCGACAUUGACAAACGUGGAGAAGUUAUUAUUGUUUUGUGUUUUUGUUUAAACGUGAUCACGAUGAUAGCAGCUGAUGGAUUGAAAACUCCAGCUAUGGAUCUUUUCGCGUGUUAUAAGGAAAUGCUGACUUCAGUCUGGGAUGAGUUUCUACUCCUGCCACAGAUUCAGCUGCUGGACAAGUCUCUUGGGAUAUUUGGGAUACACGCGUGGUCAAGUGCUGACAUUUUCAUAGAUGGUUAAUGUUAUAUGCUGAUUUCGGAAAUGAAAUCUGUAUUUGGUGGAUUUCUUUUUUUUUUUUUUUGCACAGUUGGAUAUCUUGGAUUAUGUUUUGGAAGCUGUGCUCCAGUGGAUGUCCAGUGAUUUGGAUAAUAUGUGCGCAUCUCCUGAUUCCGCAGUGAAGGAAUCCAAAUUCUCGAGAUGAGAGUUCGACCUUUAAUUGCAUGCUAGCGAUCUUCUGAUGAUCACCAAGAAGGGGCUGAGUAAUGGAAACAUGACCUCAAGAGAUUCAACAGGGUGAGGCAUGUGAGAGAAACGUGGGAAGGGAAAAUCCAGAAUGGAGGCCAGAAGAGAUGCACAAAGUCAGGAUCAUACUAAAUCCUGGUUUGGACUGUUGGACCAGCAUCCUCUGAAGCAGAUGUUUGCUCCUGGCAAGGCUGCCGACAACAUGAGCUCCAACACUGGCAAUCUAGCUCCCAGGAUUCAGUGAGCAGCGUGAGCUUGGAGAAGCUAUGACAUAAACGCAGCAGGACGGUGAAUCGCGUUUUGCUGCUCAGACAUCAUGGAACAGAUCAGUCAGCCCCAUCUGGAGAAAUGCUCUAUAGAAGAGUCAUAUAUUUACCAUAGUUACUUUGAUGGAUACAGCAUGUUGUUUGACUUUAUUUUUCUAAUUGAUUUUAUGAUGAUAAUUUCCCGGCAUCUAUGUAUCUUCUCUUGUUUUGCAGAUUUUAUUUACAGUGUCGCUCAUUCAGUAACUUCAGCAUUUAAUGUGUAAUUUUUGUCAUUUUUGGUAAUGUGACUGUUUUCAAAGUGGCUCUUCUAAAACUGCAUAAGAACGUUUAUCCAGGGAGGAGCACAAAAGAUGUCUCCUACUGUGUAUAAAGACUUAAUGCACAUGUGAUUGAGAUUAAUCAGACGAAUCACUCAAUCAGUGGAUAUGUGAUUUUCAUCUUCGACAAAGAAGCCAUUGUCAUUAAUGUAAAACCAUGAAUUCUCCUUCUUACGCUGCAUUUUAUUGUGACACAUUGGCAGCUUCUGCUAAUUUCAGUUAAUAAUCCUGUCAAGCAGUUUAUUCUCAUUAUGAUUUAUGACUCCAUAGCUUUUGUUGUUUUUGUUAAGCCCUGUUAGCAGAAAUUAAAAGGUGUAUCCAAGCUGCUGUUUGUUUGUGUUGUCAUUCCAGAUACAUGAGAUAAAUGGUUGGAUGUUUCAGUGGUGUUCAUUGUUACGGUUAUUCAUGCUGGCUUCCUUACUAGUUAGGCCAGUAUGUGCUAGUCUAGCAUUUGAGGAAUAAAUGGGGUGUUAUCUUUUUUUUUUUUCUUCAAAGGAAGACAAGGUAAAGGUGAACUUUACAGUAAAAAUGUAAUAUGUUACAUUUAAACUGAAACAGUGAUUUUUAAUAGUUUUACUGGCAAUCGCAACAUACUGAAUGUAUAUUUUUGGUUGAUGUUACAAUGUAAUGUGUAAAUGCAUCACUUACUAUAAUCACAAAAAAUUGUAGAAGUAACAGUAAAAAGAUGACAUCAUUUUGCUGAGUUUACACUCUACAAACGUGUCACGUAUGAUGUUGAUGGAGAAGUGCUUAAUGUCACAUAAUAGGUCAACGUGUGUCAAAAUGCAGGGAGUUUCCAACCAUACUGUGGAAGAAAUCCCCACAGAUCCCUCGUCUUGUCCCAAAAAUAUUCAACAUACGUCGCUAAUGCAUGCAUUGUUUUCAUUUAGUCUGAGUGACUUCAGCAUUUCAGCAGUGACUUCCCAUUCAGCUGUCUUUCGCUGUCAUUUCAGUUACGAUUCAAUAAAGUCUGCGUCAGGGUGGGUAGGUGAAGGAGUGUAUAGUUGCUAAGGGUGUAAUUAUUCCUCAAGGGGUUACUUAUUGUUGUCCUUGCCUCAGUGAUAAAACAAAGCUGAC